GCCUGGGUGGCUCAGUCAGUUGAGCACCCGACUUCCGCUCAGGUCAUGAUCUCGCAGUCUGUGGGUUCGAGCCCCGCGUCGGGCU
RNAcentral lists this transfer RNA (85 nucleotides) under Felis catus (domestic cat). It matches the Rfam family "tRNA". From Rfam's summary of the family: Transfer RNA (tRNA) molecules are approximately 80 nucleotides in length. RNAcentral also lists the same sequence under 1 other name. The record is from Rfam by way of RNAcentral. Lineage: Eukaryota; Metazoa; Chordata; Mammalia; Carnivora; Felidae.